This 64-nucleotide transfer RNA is filed under the name Stricticollis tobias. Its description in RNAcentral is "tRNA-Leu". The record is from RNAcentral. Lineage: Eukaryota; Metazoa; Arthropoda; Insecta; Coleoptera; Anthicidae.
UCUAUUAUGGCAGAUUAGUGCAAUGGACUUAAAAACCAUAUAUAAAGUUUACCUUUUUUUAGAA